This 114-nucleotide ribosomal RNA is filed under the name uncultured eukaryote. Its description in RNAcentral is "partial small subunit ribosomal RNA". It matches the Rfam family "Bacterial small subunit ribosomal RNA", at positions 1412 to 1525 of the family's 1533-position model. The record is from RNAcentral.
GGGUUUCACCAGAAGUAGGUAGCCUAACCGCAAGGAGGGCGCCGACCACGGUGUGAUUCAUGACUGGGGUGAAGUCGUAACAAGGUAGCAGUAGGUGAACCUGCAGAAGAAUCA